This 253-nucleotide ribosomal RNA is filed under the name uncultured bacterium. RNAcentral's name for it is "partial 16S ribosomal RNA". It matches the Rfam family "Bacterial small subunit ribosomal RNA", at positions 524 to 776 of the family's 1533-position model. The record is from RNAcentral.
UACAGAGGCCUCGAGCGUUGUUCGGAAUUACUGGGCGUAAAGGGAAUGUAGGUGGUGACGUAAGUCAGAUGUGAAAGCCCUGGGCUUAACCCAGGAACUGCAUUUGAUACUGCGUUGCUUGAGUAUAAUAGAGGUGGGCGGAAUUCCCAGUGUAGGAGUGAAAUCCGUAGAUAUUGGGAGGAAUACCGAUGGCGAAGGCAGCCCACUGGCUUAUAACUGACACUGAGAUUCGAAAGCGUGGGGAGCAAACAGG